Molecule: non-coding RNA, 185 nt
Filed under: Roseivivax halodurans
Lineage: Bacteria; Pseudomonadati; Pseudomonadota; Alphaproteobacteria; Rhodobacterales; Roseobacteraceae
Also listed under: 1 other name
Source: RNAcentral
AUCAAGAUCACGUCCGAAGGUCCGUUUUUGGAGAAAUUGGGAAGCCGGUGAAAUUCCGGCGCUGCCCCCGCAACUGUAAGCGGCGAGCGCUCCUCCCCACGCCACUGAUCCCCGCGAGGGAUUGGGAAGGCCGAGGUGCGCAGCGACCCGCAAGCCAGGAGACCAGCCGGAGGACGGAGACGACC